Hordeum vulgare subsp. vulgare (domesticated barley) is the source of this 577-nucleotide RNA transcript. It is a transcript of the gene named histone H4-like, with no coding region annotated. The transcript has a single exon. Lineage: Eukaryota; Viridiplantae; Streptophyta; Magnoliopsida; Poales; Poaceae. The record is from RefSeq and is a predicted model, not a curated record.
GAAACACAGCAACCAUCCCCACCACUCCUCCAAUCCCACCCACUCGCUCAGCAGCUCGAAGAGGAUCGUCGGCCAUGUCCGGGCGCGGCAAGGGAGGCAAGGGUCUCGGCAAGGGCGGCGCCAAGCGCCACCGUAAGGUGCUGCGCGACAACAUCCAGGGCAUCACCAAGCCUGCCAUCCGUCGCCUGGCGAGGAGGGGCGGCGUGAAGCGCAUCUCCGGCCUCAUCUACGAGGAGACCCGCGGCGUGCUCAAGAUCUUCCUCGAGAACGUCAUCCGCGACGCCGUCACCUACACCGAGCACGCCCGCCGCAAGACCGUCACCGCCAUGGACGUCGUCUAUGCCCUCAAGCGCCAGGGCCGCACCCUCUACGGCUUCGGCGGCUAGUCUCUUUGUAGCUCCCCGCAUAUUCCGAUGUGUUUGUAAGACUGCGCGCAGGUGUCUCUCUGUGGAGACUUCUUAGAUGAAGUGAAAUCCCCAUGUUUAUUUCCACUGUCUGCUUAUUAGUAGGAUGAACUGUAUCGUGAAACAGAGUUAUUGGCCUCUGAAGCUUGAAUCCAAACUUGUUUCCAUGCAAA